Molecule: long non-coding RNA, 218 nt
Organism: Mya arenaria
Lineage: Eukaryota; Metazoa; Mollusca; Bivalvia; Myida; Myidae
Exons: 2
Source: RefSeq, a predicted model, not a curated record
CAUUGUUGGUAGAUAUGAUGAGGACUGUGUCGUCAUGUUUUCACAACGAGGCGGACACUGGGAUGACGUGCCUUGUGGGUGGCCGAAUGGAAUGGCCGUGAAACAUGUUGGCAUUUGUGAAUACAGGAUACAGACUUCCGGAUCAAUAAUUGGGAAAUGAACUUAUGUUACAAGACGGUUUAUUGUUAUCACAAAGAGUUAAUAAAACAUAAGUUUUA